This is a long non-coding RNA of Homo sapiens (human), 2711 nucleotides long. RefSeq lists it as uncharacterized. The transcript has 2 exons. NCBI's taxonomy places the organism in Eukaryota, Metazoa, Chordata, Mammalia, Primates, Hominidae. The record is from RefSeq and is a predicted model, not a curated record.
GCUGACCAAGAGACACUGUGGUUAGUGGUUUAAAAGUAAAUCCGGGAAGUCAACUUUUUGCUUCAAAAUAUAUUUUAAUCUUCUAGCAAAACAAGCAAUCAGAUAUAAAUGUCCCUUAUAAAUAGAUAACUACGGCCGGGCGCGGUGGCUCAUGCCUGUAAUCCCAGCACUUUAGGAGGCCAAGGCAGGUGGAUCACCUGAGGUCGGGAGUUCAAGACCAGCCUGGCCAACAUGGUGAAACCCCGUCUCUACUAAAAAUACAUAAAAUAGGCAGGCAUGGUGGCAGGUACUUGGUAUGUGGGAGGCUGAGGCCGGAGAAUCACUUGAACCCGGGAGGCAGAGGCGGUGAGCUGAGAUGGCACCACUGCACUCCAGCCUGGGCGACAGAGUGAGACUCCAUCUCCAAAAAAUAAAUAAACAAACAGAUAGAUAACUACUAUAUAAGUCUCUUUUCUAUCACAUAUAACACAACAUCCGGCAUGUUUACACUAGGGAGGAAGUUUCUCAAACAGUAACGUCUAGGGCUAACGUGGAUAAGCCGGAAAGGAAGCACAUCAGCAUCUAUCCCUGUGAAACACUGGAUUGAGUGGUGAACUUCUAGAGUAAGCAAGGGAUUUCCAUCAAAGACCCUUUAGGAAGCCUGGUCAAACAGACUAUCAUCUGGUCAAAACCAUGAGUUCCUGGAGGAAACACAUUUUCUUCUCCAUUUCAAAGACACUGCAUAUCCUUAGAAACCCUUCAUUACAGAGGGUUAGUGUUAAAAACCUCAGUGGUAGGGUAUAUAUUAUAUAAGUUAAAAAAUAAAAAAGAAGAAGCCCUCUAAGGCUCAAGCAGAAAUAUUCUACAGAGGGGAAUUUUUUAGGCAGAAAGAAACAGCUAGGUAAGCAACCCAUAACUUUCUCCCCCAUUGCUUUUUCUCACUUCAGGAGGCCCAGUAUGGUGGUGAGAAGAACCAGAAGGCACUCAAAAUUUAGGCCAGAAGGAUACGGUCUUCUAAGAAGACUUCAAGGCUGUUAUAAAGACCCAGUGGUGGGAGAAACCUGAUCCGGUAUAGCGGGGCCAGAAGAAGCUGCGGGACCAUGCCGCGGGGACAAGGCAAGGAGUUUCGCCAGGAUGUUGAUCUCCUGGUUAUCUACACUUCCGCCUCAGUAUGAUCUGAAUUAUUAAUGAGAAAGAUUAAGAUACAGAUUCCUUCCUUCAAGUGCCUUAGUAGUCACAGACAGGAGGUUAAUUAUAAGACUAAAAGCAAUCUUGGGUUGUUAGAAGAACUUAAAGGAAAACACCUUUCAACUUCUUGUUAUCAAUCAAUCAUUUUUGUCUUUAGAAAUCAAGAAUUUGAACAAUAACAGCUGCUUUCAGAAAUAAACCGCGACUUUGUGCAGCGUGUAUUACCUGACGAGCUGAAAUGCAUUGUUAAUGAGACUCGCCCGAUCAUUACUGCUGACUGCUGUGUGUGUUCCUUUUAAAAGGCCAGUCAAAGAGUCCCAUCCAUCAUCCUCGUAAUGCACAAUGUAAUAGCCAUUCAUGCCCACAUUAAAUUUGAUCCAUUCCACCUCUUCUGGGAGGAUGAGCACAUCUAGAGUAAAUAAAAUAAAUCAAAGUUCCAUUUGCUCCCCUGCCUGAAGAAAGCUUUUCUCAUCCAAGAUUGGGCAAGGAAAUUAGAGAAGAGUUUAAUACUGAAAAAUUUGAAAACAUCACUUAUUUCUCUCAGAAACCAGAAAACAGCAACUCAAUAGACAAAAGCUAACACUAGCUUUAGACAUCAAUUUUGUGAGAUUUACAGAUCUAUGAAAAGAAUGGCAACUACAUCUCUGGCCAUACAUAUGAUAUAACCCAGUAAUGUUAACAAAGUAAUAGUGAAUGUUCACUGGUAAUCCCUCCUUUUUAGCAUUAUAUAAUUCAGCUAUAAUCUCUAUCUGGCAAGAUAUUGGCCAUUCUUCUUUGAAACCAGAAAGCAUUUUCAAUCUGAUCCCUUUUGCUUUAACCAAGAUAAAUAGCAAAAGAAACAGCACUUUAAUCCUACACAUUUUCACAUUCCUCCUUGAAUUAACUAGUAGUUUCCAAAAUAAAUUACCUGUUUUUGUUUUUAGCAAAAAUCGAUGGACCAUGUCGGAUUUGCUGGUGAUGAAUGUCAAUGGAACAUGCCACAGGUACCUAAAAUAAAGGAGAGGUGGAUUGUUCAUUUGUUGAUUCAAUUCAACAAGCAGUUAUUAAAUCACCUAUCAUGUGCCAGGCACUGGUUAGUUUAGAACAAGAUAGUACCAAAACUGCUACAGCCAAGCUCUCAAAACAUCCCCAGUCUGUUUUCCAGCUUUGUAGGGAGUGUCAGCUCGGGCACUAUUUCCUUUUCUUGGACUCCUUGAGUAGAGCUAAGAAUUUGGACUCACGUGAACCCUGAAAGCCUUUUUACAGUGAUUGGCUGAUUGCAUCUCAGAGGCCUAACUUCAGGACUCAUGUGCCUCCUGAAUAGUAUAUUAGGAAGGACACAAUAUCACCUCCUUGGGAUUCCUGUCAAUGAUAUGUAAGCUGAACCUGAUCAUGGAGAAACAGCAGAAAAUCCAAACUGAAAGGCAUUCUAUAAAAUAACUGGCCAGUACUCUUCAAAAAAUGUCAAUAUCGAGAAGCCCAAAAAAGACUGAAGAGUUGUUUCAGAAAAAAAUGGAGACCAAAAUGAUGCAACAACUAAAUAAAAUAAGUGAUCCUGUAUUAAA